This 439-nucleotide ribosomal RNA is filed under the name uncultured bacterium. RNAcentral's name for it is "partial 16S ribosomal RNA". It matches the Rfam family "Bacterial small subunit ribosomal RNA", at positions 339 to 795 of the family's 1533-position model. The record is from RNAcentral.
CCUCGGGUUGCACCAGUGGGGAAUAUUGCACAAUGGAGGAAACUCUGAUGCAGCAACGCCGCGUGGAGGAUGACACUUUUCGGAGCGUAAACUCCUUUUAUAUAGGAAGAAGAUGACGGUACUAUAUGAAUAAGCGCCGGCUAACUCCGUGCCAGCAGCCGCGGUAAUACGGAGGGCGCAAGCGUUACUCGGAAUCACUGGGCGUAAAGAGCGUGUAGGCGGAUUAAAAAGUCAGAAGUGAAAUCCUAUAGCUUAACUAUAGAACUGCUUCUGAAACUCUUAAUCUAGAAUAUGGGAGAGGUAGAUGGAAUUUCUGGUGUAGGGGUAAAAUCCGUAGAGAUCAGAAGGAAUACCGAUUGCGAAGGCGAUCUACUAGAACAUUAUUGACGCUGAGGCGCGAAAGCGUGGGGAGCAAACAGGAUUAGAUACCCCCGUAGUC